AAAAAGACAAAUCAUGUCUUUCCGUGUCCAACUUUAACUGUCUGUCUUAUAUGAAAUUUUUUUAUAAUUCGUAUUUUUAUUAUUGUUAGAUGAUAAAACAUGAUUAAUACUUUGUGCGUGACUUGUCUUUUUAAUUUUUUUUAUAUUUUUUUAAAACAAGACGGACGGUCAAACGUUAGACACGAAAACCAGGGUUUGCCUUUUUA
RNAcentral lists this microRNA precursor (206 nucleotides) under Oryza rufipogon (brownbeard rice). Its description in RNAcentral is "MIR812 microRNA precursor family". It matches the Rfam family "MIR812 microRNA precursor family". The record is from Rfam by way of RNAcentral. Lineage: Eukaryota; Viridiplantae; Streptophyta; Magnoliopsida; Poales; Poaceae.